This 161-nucleotide ribosomal RNA is filed under the name uncultured bacterium. RNAcentral's name for it is "partial 16S ribosomal RNA". It matches the Rfam family "Bacterial small subunit ribosomal RNA", at positions 1339 to 1500 of the family's 1533-position model. The record is from RNAcentral.
UAAUGGCAGGUCAGCAUACUGCCGUGAAUACGUUCCCGGGCCCUUGUACACACCGCCCGUCAUACCAUGAGAGUUGGGAAUACCCGAAGCCUGUGAGCUAACGUAAGAGGCAGCAGUCGAAGGUAGAAUCAAUGAUUGGGGUGAAGUCGUAACAAGGUACC